RNAcentral lists this ribosomal RNA (460 nucleotides) under uncultured bacterium. RNAcentral's name for it is "partial 16S ribosomal RNA". It matches the Rfam family "Bacterial small subunit ribosomal RNA", at positions 338 to 795 of the family's 1533-position model. The record is from RNAcentral.
CCUACGGGAGGCAGCAGUGAGGAAUAUUGGUCAAUGGACGAGAGUCUGAACCAGCCAAGUAGCGUGAAGGAUGACUGCCCUAUGGGUUGUAAACUUCUUUUAUAUGGGAAUAAAAUGUUGCACGUGUGCCAUUUUGUAUGUACCAUAUGAAUAAGGAUCGGCUAACUCCGUGCCAGCAGCCGCGGUAAUACGGAGGAUCCGAGCGUUAUCCGGAUUUAUUGGGUUUAAAGGGAGCGUAGGUGGAUUGUUAAGUCAGUUGUGAAAGUUUGCGGCUCAACCGUAAAAUUGCAGUUGAAACUGGCAGUCUUGAGUACAGUAGAGGUGGGCGGAAUUCGUGGUGUAGCGGUGAAAUGCUUAGAUAUCACGAAGAACUCCGAUUGCGAAGGCAGCUCACUGGACUGCAACUGACACUGAGGCUCGAAAGUGUGGGUAUCAAACAGGAUUAGAUACCCUAGUAGUC